This is a non-coding RNA of Eubacterium nodatum ATCC 33099, 86 nucleotides long. Lineage: Bacteria; Bacillati; Bacillota; Clostridia; Peptostreptococcales; Anaerovoracaceae. The record is from Rfam.
GGGCGCCGUAUGAGCAGGAAACUCUCAUGUACGGUGCUAAGCGGGGGAAAAGGUGGAGACAACAUCAAAGCCUUACCUAUCGCAAU